GUCACGUGCCAUAGUCGCGCGUCGGCUUUGCGCAUCUCUUGCUUUCGCAUGCGGUGCAGCGCGCUGUUUUAUCGUAUCAUCAGCUAUCUCGUGCAUUCUGCGCAUAUUCGGCGAUGUUGCGGUUAGUUUCGUGCCGAUUUCUGGUUGAUUCGCACUCGUUCUUCGCGGUUCAUUGUAUUGUGUUAGAUUUUGAUUCGGUAAUCCGCGUUGUUGUCGAUGGAAAUUCGAGAAUUCAAUUAUAUUGCAAGUUAAAAGAUGGCCGCAUGCCUAACACUGCAGUCGUUGUAAUCCGCGGUGUUGGUUGCUAAUGGAAUUGGAUCUUAUCACCGCCAUGUUUAUUCUCUUCAUUCGCAUGAUCCAUCAUGUUUGUUACUAGCUGUGCUUUGCUGUCCGCUAAGCUCUGCAUUGGGUUUCAUACGGCGCACGAAUAUCCUUUGCUAUCAGAAGAGGAUAUGGAAAGAUGACACAGCAAUAGUGUCGUUCAACAAUGCGACUGCCGGCGUGACUGACGGUUUAUGCGUUAAUCUUAACGAAGUAGUGUCUCCCAUACGAAUCGUCCAAGUUUGAUGUGCGCGAUGGCAACGUAUUGUAUUGUCAAAUAUUUGCUGCUUGUCGUGCAAUUAUUUUUGCAUACAUUGUAUUAAAACAAACAAAUGAAACCCAUAUCAUCCUUUUUAAUUAGUAUAAUUAGCACCCAUCGAUAUAAUCAUAAAAAAACUACCUAACUUUUAAAAUGAAAGGACGCAUUAUUAUUGUUUAUUUGUUAUUGUACACGCGUUCAUAAUGUGCACCCACUGACUUCAAAUGUAUUUGUUUAUAAUUAUGGCGAUUGAAAAAUGCAAGGUAAAUUAGAUUUGCAGGAUACACUCUACAAUAAAUUUUAAGGGGUCAUAUAUCUGUAGAAAUUUCUGCACAAAUGUUGCUAUAAAAAAAGGUGCAAAGAGUUUACACGGUGUGUGAAAUUUAUGGAUAGCAUAUUGUUUCAAUUGUUUUUCUAUUUGUUUAAAGCGUGUAGAUGCAGCUAUUGUAAUGACCCCAUUAUGUUUAGGUAGGUCAGAACUCAUAAAAAGUAUUGUUGCGCCAAAAAUAUUUUUGUAGAACGGGUAGCGAUGUCUGUUUAUUGUUAUACUGGUUUUUGUCAUGCGCUUUUCUCAGUCCACCCGUAUUGGACCUUUCCUGUAUUUUUGUCUAUUCUUGUGUAUGUUCAUUUCCGUUCUUGUGUGCUUGUAUUAUUUGUGUAGAACUUGAGAAAUCCUGUUAUUGUGAAUAGAUUUUUGUUGAUUUACCUUAGAUGUAAAGUGUAUUGUUACUUGUGUUUUCUGUGCAAAGCUUGAUUUUGUAUUAGUUAGUUUUGCAUUAUUUUCGACGUGUGAGUAAAUGUAUGCAUGUCUCACCUGUUAUCCUUGUAUAGUAGAUUGUAGUUUUUUUGUGUUUAAAUGUGUAUACGUACCUCGUAUUGUGUCCUUAAUAUGUAGAUUUUUGUACAAAAAUAUACUGUCCUUUUGUGUAAAUUA
Long non-coding RNA from Dalotia coriaria, 1514 nucleotides. RefSeq lists it as uncharacterized. The transcript is spliced from 4 exons. NCBI's taxonomy places the organism in Eukaryota, Metazoa, Arthropoda, Insecta, Coleoptera, Staphylinidae. The record is from RefSeq and is a predicted model, not a curated record.